This 454-nucleotide ribosomal RNA is filed under the name uncultured bacterium. Its description in RNAcentral is "partial 16S ribosomal RNA". It matches the Rfam family "Bacterial small subunit ribosomal RNA", at positions 341 to 792 of the family's 1533-position model. The record is from RNAcentral.
ACGGGAGGCAGCAGUGAGGAAUAUUGGUCAAUGGAGGCAACUCUGAACCAGCCAUCUCGCGUGAAGGAAUACGGCCCUAUGGGUCUUAAACUUCUUUUAUAGGGGGAUAAAGUGAGCCACGUGUGGCUUUUUGUAGGUACCCUAUGAAUAAGCAUCGGCUAACUCCGUGCCAGCAGCCGCAGUAAUACGGAGGAUGCGAGCGUUAUCCGGAUUUAUUGGGUUUAAAGGGUGCGCAGGCGGCACGUUAAGUCAGCGGUGGAAUGUCGGGGCUCAACCCGGGCACUGCCGUUGAAACUGGCGAGCUUGAGUACGGAUGAAGUCGGCGGAAUGUGAUGUGUAGCGGUGAAAUGCUUAGAUAUGUCACAGAACACCGAUUGCGAAGGCAGCUUACCAGCAUACGACUGACGCUGAGGCACGAAAGUGUGGGGAUCAAACAGGAUUAGAUACCCUGGUA